This is a non-coding RNA of Heterocephalus glaber (naked mole-rat), 4411 nucleotides long. Lineage: Eukaryota; Metazoa; Chordata; Mammalia; Rodentia; Bathyergidae. The record is from RefSeq and is a predicted model, not a curated record.
CUGUGGGGAACCAAGAAUAUGCCUUCACAGAGGUUGGAAAGCGCUGAAAGGUGCCGUCUGUAUUCAGGAUGACGGAACAGGGUUCUUUGUCCGACAGGCAUUGCUAUUCCGACCACGAAUAAGAAGCUGUAGCGGCGCCAGAAAGUGGCGCGGGGCAGGCAUAGCUUGGCCGCCUAAGGCAGACAGGCAAGGAAGGACCGGCUGCGACUCGAGAAGGAAGCCCCUAUGUCCCUGACCCGGCGCUCUCUCCCAGGGCUCCUGUUGUUCUGUGGCUGGCUUCCCGGCGAGUCUCUCCUUCCGGGGCCAGGGACUGCGCCGUCAUGGCUGAGGUGAAGGUGAAGGUGCAGCCGCCCGACGCGGUUCCGGUCGAAAUAGAAAAUAGGAUCAUAGAACUAUGUCACCAGUUUCCUCAUGGAAUCACAGACCAAGUAAUUCAGAAUGAAAUGCCUCAUAUAGAAGCCCAACAGCGGGCAGUGGCCAUCAAUAGACUCUUGUCCAUGGGUCAGUUGGAUCUCUUAAGGAGUAAUACAGGCCUUUUAUACAGAAUAAAGGACUCUCAGAAUGCUGGUAAAAUGAAAGGAUCAGAUAACCAGGAAAAACUAGUAUAUCAGAUCAUAGAGGAUGCGGGAAAUAAAGGAAUAUGGAGCAGAGAUAUUCGAUAUAAAAGUAACUUGCCAUUAACAGAAAUCAACAAAAUUCUAAAGAAUUUGGAAAGUAAAAAACUUAUCAAAGCUGUUAAGUCCGUAGCGGCCUCCAAAAAGAAAGUAUAUAUGCUGUAUAACCUGCAGCCAGACCGGUCUGUGACUGGUGGGGCCUGGUACAGUGACCAGGAUUUUGAAUCUGAAUUUGUAGAGGUGCUUAACCAACAGUGCUUUAAAUUCCUACAAUCCAAGGCAGAAACAGCUCGAGAAAGCAAACAGAAUCCAGUGAUUCAGAGAAAUAGUUCAUUUGCCUCAUCACAUGAAGUGUGGAAAUAUAUCUGUGAAUUGGGGAUCAGUAAGGUAGAGUUGUCCAUGGAGGACAUAGAAACCAUCUUGAAUACCCUCAUUUAUGAUGGGAAAGUAGAGAUGACAAUCAUUGCUGCAAAGGAAGGCACAGUUGGCAGUGUAGACGGACACAUGAAACUAUACAGGGCAGUCAGUCCAAUCAUCGCACCCACAGGCUUGGUCCGGUCACCCUGCGGACUCUGCCCGGUCUUUGAUGACUGCCAUGAAGGCGGUGAGAUUUCACCCUCUAAUUGUAUUUACAUGACAGAGUGGCUUGAAUUUUAAUAAAGAGCUGUGAACUUUACUGACAUUUUGCAAAUGAGGAUACUUCAUGAACAAGUAAUUGAAUUCAUAAUGGAACUUCAAAUUUCCUUGAAAACAUACUUCACAAUAAUGGAUACAGACUUGCUGUUGUGAAGGUUUUUUCUCCUUUACUUUAUGAAGACUAAAUUUGUAUUGGUGGAAUAGCCACCAGAAAAUGGGACAGACCAGGCUUGUGGAGAAGCCCACUCUGAAGCACUGGAGGGUCUCAUCCUUUGAUGUCUCAAGAUUUUGGAGGACUCAAAGAAAAGGAAGCCAAAUGUUUACCAAGCACUAUGUGGUUUAUGAUGGCAGGAAUAUAGCAGAGCUGGGAAUGUACACAGACUUGGUACAUGCACUGGGGAGUGGAACAUCCUUUUCUACAUGCUGUUAGUCCCUUUUUAUGCAGUAUUUCUUUCAGGACUAUGCUGCCAUACUCACCUUGAUCCCAAAUGGUGACUGUUUAUAUUUUCAGUGCAGGGUAUAUUUUCAGUGCACAAAUAUUAAUGAUCGUUUUCAUCCUCAAGGGAGUAUUUUCACUCUUCCUCUAUUGUUAAAGGCUUGUUUCAUUCUGUGUCUCAAUUAUAUUCUCCCUAGAAUUUCUCUUAGAUUAUUUAGUGUGCAGUGUUUGUCCCAUCCCACCACCCCACCCCGAGCAGACAUACACCACCACUCCAAAUAUGAGUGUUGGAACCUGAUCUCCAAGGUGGUGGGUUGUUUGUUUAUUUAUUUAUUUAUUUUGGUACCGGGGAUCGAACUUGGGUCCUUGAGCUUACGCAGCAGGUGGCAAAACCACUGAGCUAAAUCCCCGGCCCGAGAUUUUUUUUUUGUGGGGUACUGGGGAUCGAACUCGGGUCCUUGAGCUUGCAAGGCAGGCAGUGUGUUUAUUUUUUGAAACAAGGUCUCGCUAUGUAGCCCAGGCUGGCCUUGAACUCCCAGUGAUCCUCCUGCCUCAGCCUCCUGAGUGCUGGGAUUAUAGGUGUGUGCCACCACCAAGGUGAUGGUAUUGGACAUGGGUCCUUUAGGAGGUGAUGGGUCAUGAGGGUAGAGUCCUCAUGAACUGGACGAGUGCCCUUAUAAAAGAGACCCAAAGCAGGCAUCUUGGUUACAUCUGUAAUCCCAGCUACUCGGGAGGCUGAGGCAGGAAGAUUGUGACUUCAAGGCCAGCCUGGGCAACUUAAGUGUCAUAAUAAAAAGUGCUGGGGAUAUAGCUCAGUGAUAGAGCACCUCUGGGUGCAGUCCCCAGUGUGGAAAUACAGAGAAAAUAGGGAGCCAUCUGUGACCCAGGAAGUGGCCCCCACCAGACACCAGGUCUGCCAGGGCCUUCAUGUUGGACUUCUUGGUCUUCUGAAAUGUGAGAAGUAAAAUUUUACUGUUGAGAGCCACUUGGCUAUGAUACUCUGUUAUAGCAGACAGGAUGGACUAUGACAGUGUCUUGUUUAAAAUUAAAACAAAAAUAGAUCAAUGCCCUCUGUUUGAGGGGUGGAGUGGGGAGCAUUCUCUUACUGUUUUGGAUUUCUUUUUCUUAUUCUGUUCUAAAAUUCAUGGUGUGACAUGUCAAAGAAGAAAGCCAUCGCUGUGCGACAGUCCUUGUUCUAAUAGCACAUUAGGCUGUUUAAUGUACUGUUGCAUGGAAAAUAGCUGUAUGGCUCUUUAGGACCUCAGCUGUUGUUUCUGCAUCCAUCCCACACUCAGGAGGCUGAGACAGGAGGAUCGCCCGGAGUUUGAGGCCACCCUGGACUACAUAGCAAGACCCUGUUUCAAAAAACAAGAAAAGUUUUUGUAUCCAGCCAAAAGUAUGGAACCAACCCAAAAGAAUUCACACUUAGUUCCCACUAGGAGGUGAAUUCUAACACUAGUUUGGAGGUGCUCUGAAUGAACAAACAACAUCAGAAGAGUUAGAGAUAAAAUAUUUUGGGAUCAGUAAAAUAAAAUGGAGCUCACUGGCCCAUUUUUAUCAGAGAAAUUCUUUGUUCAUUUCUCUAGAUGACACUAGUCACAGAGAUCAUUUAAAUAUUGGCUGUAUAUAAGAUACAGAAGGAUCCAGGAACCAGAAACUACAGGGGCUCACAUGGUAAUAGCAAUGUCCUUUGGGGCCUAGCAAAGAGGCACUGGCUUUAUUUAAUAAGAAAAUUUAAUUUGGAGAAGAGUUCUAAGAGGAGAAGGAAAUGAUUUAUGUUUGCAUUGUGUCUUGGUGGCCAGUGAUUGAUUUUUAAAAUAUAAAAUAGUGAAAACAAGAGUAUUAUUGCCUCACUAGAAUAAAGAGACCCUUUGAACUUUUUUCCAUAGUAUAUUUUUUAUUCUGAACAUCAACUAAAGGAGAAAGCACCUCUGAUGUAGUUAAAUGCAUUAUGUAUCCUACAGAUAAACUGACCAAACAAAUUGUGAGUCUCUAGACUCAGGAGAACUCCAAAUAGUGAACUAGCAAGUGAAUCCCUAACCCUUACAGCAGAUUUUCAUUCAGUGUUAGAUGUUUUGUUCUCCUGAGGGUAGAUGCAUAUUCCCCAGUCUGCUGAGGCCCUUUUGGAUGUAAUAAUAACCCAUGGAGAAUAACAGAAAUCACGAGAGUCCAUGAUUCUGUGGUUUUUAAUGAAUACAUGGAUUCUCACAGGAAACUGAUUUAGUUUGGCAAUAUAAUUUUUACAGGCCCAGGAUUUUGAUGAUGAUUAAGCAAUUUCGUCAAAAAAUUUCAAAUUGAAAAAAAAAAAUUUCAAAUUGAGUCACUCCUGCUUUGAAUUCUUACUUAUAAUUAGACAGUGGGUGAGGGGAGGAAGUAACAUUGUGUGCUGUGGGCCAGUGCUGCCCAGUAGUUUUCUGCCACAGUGGAAGUGCACUAUCUCAGCUGUCCAGGGAGGGAGCCAUGAACCAGCAGUGCCUGUUGAGCACCUGAAACACGGCUUGGGUGACUGAACUGAAUCUUGCAUUUUUUAGCUACCUCUACCUGUGGUUACUGUACUAGGUAGCACAGCUCAACAAUCAUGCAGGCUUAUGUAAUUAUUGUAGGAAUGAAGAAUAUCAGAAUUAGUCUUUUCUCAAUUGUAUAUAUUUGGAUUUUUUUCCUAUGAAAGAAGACAGUAAAGUAUUAUAAACAGUUGUUUGUGUACAUUUAUAGUUUUUUAAAGAAA